Molecule: ribosomal RNA, 253 nt
Filed under: uncultured bacterium
Lineage: Bacteria
Description: partial 16S ribosomal RNA
Rfam family: Bacterial small subunit ribosomal RNA
Source: RNAcentral
UACAGAGGGUGCAAGCGUUAAUCGGAAUUACUGGGCGUAAAGAGUACGUAGGCGGAUACUUAAGUCAGAUGUGAAAGCCCCGGGCUUAACCUGGGAACUGCAUCUGAAACUGGGCUUCUAGAGUAUGGUAGAGGAUAGUGGAAUUUCUGGUGUAGCGGUGAAAUGCGUAGAUAUCAGAAGGAACACCAGUGGCGAAGGCGACUAUCUGGGCCAAUACUGACGCUGAGGUACGAAAGCAUGGGUAGCAAACAGG